CCCCUGCCCCACAGCUGGACCUCAGCUGGGCGCUCCUGCCCCCUUCGCAGCGGCGUCACGUGGCCGCUGAGCUCACCGUCAACCGCCAGGCUCAGCUGGAUGCCAACGAUGACUUGUUUUUAUUGUGAUCGUACUCCAGGGAAACCCUGCUGCUGCCCCGCACCCCUCCAGCCCCGCUCAGCAGGACAGCCCGGGAAACCGGCCUCCCGUGGGCGGAGGCCCCCGCUCCCGCAGACCCCUCCCCUCGGCAAGGGCUUUCCCAGAUCUUCCGGGCUCCGGGGCCUUCCUCCAGAAGGAAGUCUCCUCGGCCCCAGGGAAAGCUCUCGAGCGGCCGCAGUCCCCGGGCCGGGGCCUGCCCUCACGCCCCCCGCCGCGGCCCCCUCCCCUCGAGCGCCCGUGCUGGAGCCAGGCUGCCCCGGAAGGAUCUGACCGGCCACUUCCUGCAAUUGUCUCUCUGGACGCAGUCCGCGGGCGUCCAGCGCUCCCAGUCUCUCCAACGCCCGGCCUCUCGGACGUCCCCGCCCACCCUCUCCGUCCCCGGCAGCUCUCCCUCGCCGCCCUCUCAGCAGCCGGCCGCGGGGGACCGGGCGUGCGUGGUCACCGGGGCAACCGCCCGGGCCCGGGCGGAGGUGGAGGGGGGUAGCCGCGCUCUGGCUCCCAGCGAGUCAAAUCGGAGCGGCCGCCAAGGGUGGGCUGGGAGCGCUGCACAGCAAGAGACCCCGCACUGGAGGGAGGAACGGCUUGCCCUUUCUUCAGCUCAGACCACCGCGGCCCUCAAGGCAGCCCGCCCCACCUCCUGGUCCCACUGGGCGUGCCCUCCAGGAAGAGGCGCAGGGAGGUCGGGGAGGGGCCUGUCUGCACUUGAUGGAUGGCACUGAAGAAAUGUCUGGCACUUUCUUUCCCCGUGGGGGAGCUCCAGCUCGAAACCACCAAACUCUUCCAGGACAGCCUUGGUCUCAGAAGACAAGUGGAUCUUCAGGGCUGGGAAGGAUGAGGAAAAUGGAGGCUUGAGGCCAACUGACACACAGCUGUGUGGGUUGUGGAGCUAGAUUCACACCUAAAUGGGCUGCUUGAAGCCCUCUACCACAGGCGCAGCUCCUCCUGGGGCCGAUGGCGGAUGCGGAAGGAGCGCACCGCGUCCAGCAGCGCCAGGGCCAUGCGGGCCACCUCCCGGGCGUGCAGCAGCCCAUUCCG
This is a long non-coding RNA of Zalophus californianus (California sea lion), 1194 nucleotides long. RefSeq lists it as uncharacterized. Lineage: Eukaryota; Metazoa; Chordata; Mammalia; Carnivora; Otariidae. The record is from RefSeq and is a predicted model, not a curated record. The transcript has 4 exons.